RNAcentral lists this ribosomal RNA (254 nucleotides) under uncultured bacterium. Its description in RNAcentral is "partial 16S ribosomal RNA". It matches the Rfam family "Bacterial small subunit ribosomal RNA", at positions 524 to 776 of the family's 1533-position model. The record is from RNAcentral.
UACGUAGGGGGCAAGCGUUGUCCGGAUUUAUUGGGCGUAAAGAGCUCGUAGGCGGUUCCGUAAGGCGUGAAGUCAAAUCUCUGGGCUCAACCCAGAAUCGCUUCCGAUACUGCGGUGACUGGAGUCCGGUAGGGGAGUGUGGAAUUCCUGGUGUAGCGGUGAAAUGCGCAGAUAUCAGGAGGAACACCAACAGCGAAGGCAGCACUCUGGGCCGGUACUGACGCUGAGGAGCGAAAGCAUGGGGAGCGAACAGG